GACGGAGGAUGCAAGUGUUAUCCGGAAUCACUGGGCGUAAAGCGUCUGUAGGUGGUUCAAUAAGUCAACUGUUAAAUCUUGAGGCUCAACUUCAAAAAUCGCAGUCGAAACUAUUGGACUCGAGUAUAGUAGGGGUAAAGGGAAUUUCCAGUGGAGCGGUGAAAUGCGUAGAGAUUGGAAAGAACACCAAUGGCGAAAGCACUUUACUGGGCUAUUACUGACACUGAGAGACGAAAGCUAGGGUAGCAAAUAGGG
RNAcentral lists this ribosomal RNA (255 nucleotides) under uncultured bacterium. Its description in RNAcentral is "partial 16S ribosomal RNA". It matches the Rfam family "Bacterial small subunit ribosomal RNA", at positions 524 to 777 of the family's 1533-position model. The record is from RNAcentral.